Molecule: long non-coding RNA, 754 nt
Organism: Leptopilina boulardi
Lineage: Eukaryota; Metazoa; Arthropoda; Insecta; Hymenoptera; Figitidae
Exons: 3
Source: RefSeq, a predicted model, not a curated record
GAAGAAGGGGCAAUCACAUUGCUACCAAUAUAAAUUCCUAUUCUCCAAUACAAUACAUUUUUUUGACCUUGAAAGCCAACAAAAUAGAGUGUAAGACAUUUUUAGAGGUCGUAAAGUAAAAAAAAUUUGUUUCAGACUGUUUUCACCUUCGCAAAUCUCAACACGAUACUGAAGAUUCCGGCCAAAACAUGUUAAAAGAGGAGGAGAUUGCACUCUCCUUCUUGCGAAAAGAAUCAUGGGUAAUUUCUUGUCUGACGAUUGGCUAAUUUCAAAUUGCAAUAUUUUACAAUAUAACGAGUGCCUUGAUUGGCAAAGUUCUUACUAAAACGCUCGCUUAUUGGUCAAGAAAGAAAGAAGAAAAUUUUGCACUACACAGUCAGUGAUUCUCAAACAUUCGUAGUGGUGGAGAGAGUAUACAUUUAGUUCAUCAAUCAUAAAUUUGUUAAUAAAAAUAUACUAGAUAAAAUUGAAUAUCGUUCGAGUUUAUAUUAUUAAAUGUCCUAGAGCAAUAAUUAGAGAAAAAAAAAUACAGUGUAAUAAUUUAGUUAUAGUAAAUAGACAAGUGAAAUGUGAAAAAUCGGAGAAAUGUUAGGAAAUUGAAAACAAAUCAUCGCAUCUAAAUUUUCCAUAACAUCGAUCCGAAAAACAACGUAGAGUUGGUCUCCUAUACGAGAGUGGAAGACGGUGGCAUUGGGUCGAGGUCACCAGAACGUUGAUGCGAUCGAUGCAGCCUGCCAGCAAAGCACAACCAAAC